RNAcentral lists this long non-coding RNA (1639 nucleotides) under Triticum aestivum (bread wheat). RNAcentral's name for it is "long non-coding RNA (TAES_LNC018265)". Lineage: Eukaryota; Viridiplantae; Streptophyta; Magnoliopsida; Poales; Poaceae. The record is from RNAcentral.
AGAAAUUUGGUGGCCGGAGGCGCGCACUGCCGGCCUUUUCUUCUCUUUCUAUUAUCUUGGCUCUUCUUCACUCAUUGACUGAAAUGACUAUUUAUACAUACGGCAAGCACCCAUGUCAUCUAAACUCACGCCACUACUUUGACCCACUAACUAACUACCUAGCUGCAUGCACACACACGCACCACUUCUGCCAUGCAUGCACACACAACGGCCAGCCACACACAUUGGCUUGGUCCGGUUAUUACUCAACUGACUAACAGCACACACGUUCCAGCUUGAGUCGCUUCCAAGUUUCUGCAGGCCUCUAGCUGAAUUGGCGCAUGCCACAACUAAUGCGUCCGAUUCUUGCUCCAUCUCCACCUGCACGCAACUCGGCCAUCGGACUCGCGGAGCUUUAACGCAUGCAUCUAACUACCAUGCAUAAUUAGCUUUGCCUUGUGCACGUGAACACAACCUGACGUGCACACACAGCUGCAGCUCAACUACAAGCAUGAUAUAAACAUAUCUAAUCGUACACACUAAUAACAAGAUUAGUUCUAACAUUCACCUCCCUAAUCUUGUUAACUUAUUUCUUUCUUGAAGCCAAUGAUUGUUCACGUCGUCGAUGCAACACGCAGACGGCCGCAAAUGCCAUCUUGUCACGCCGACUGCCGUCGUUGUUGGCCUCGAUGAGAGUCACUCCUCCCGCGCCUUCACCACGAGCACACCGCCGUGGCAUGCUCGCUGCCGCAUGUUUGCCACCGGUGCCGCAACUCGCCGGUGACUCGCCUUCAUGCUCGCCACCGGUGACACAACUCGCCGAUGACUCGCCUCCAUGUUGUCGACGAUGACGCACCUUAUCGAAGACUCGGACAUGGAACUCCUUAUGGCAAUGGCCUCCACGCAUGGCCAUCACCACCUUGCCGCCGAUGCCGCAACUUACCGGGCAGCACACCCCUCUCCAUCGCUCGUGACGCAACUCGACGAUGAUGGAGACACGCACCGGCCGCUAGCAGCAUCGCGCCGCCAACGGCGUUCACCUUGCGCCGCCAACGUCCCCCUCACAUGGAGUCUGCCGCGCCGCCACCGUCGCCUCGGAUCGACAAGGCUUUGAUACCAAAUGUUGGCGCCGCCUCCCGCAGCGCCGCUUCUUCUUCUUCUACCUCGGUGGCUGCCUCUCACAGCUCACAUAUACAACAAUGGAGGCGCAAGAAAUUUGGUGGCCGGAGCCUCACACUGCCGGCCUUUUCUUCUCUUUCUAUUAUCUUGGCUCUUUUUCACUCAUUGACUGAAAUGACUAUUUAUACACACGGCAAGCACCCAUGCCAUCUAAACUCACGCCACUACUUUGACCCACUAACUAACUACCUAGCUGCAUGCACACACACGCACCAUUUCUGCCAUGCAUGCACACACAACGGCCAGCCACACACAUUGGCUUGGUCCGGUUAUUACUCAACUGACUAACAGCACACACACGUUCCAGCUUGAGUCGCUUCCAAGUUUCUGCAGGCCUCUAGCUGAAUUGACGCAUGCCACAACUAAUGUGUCCGAUUCUUGCUCCAUCUCCACCUGCACGCAACUCGGCCAUCGGACUCGCGGAGCUUUAACGCAUGCAUCUAACUACCAUGCAUAAUUAGCUUUGCCUUGUGCACGUGAA